Molecule: ribosomal RNA, 1234 nt
Filed under: metagenome
Description: bacterial LSU rRNA
Rfam family: Bacterial large subunit ribosomal RNA
Source: RNAcentral
UGAAUACGAGACGCUAAGGCGUCGAAGUAGUGUAUGUCAUACUUCCAAGAAAAGCUUGCACUGUCAUAGAUAAAAAACGCCUGUACCAUAACCGACACAGGUGGGUAGGUAGAGUAUACUAAGGGGCGCGAGAUAACUCUCUCUAAGGAACUCGGCAAAAUAACUCCGUAACUUCGGGAGAAGGAGUGCCUUAUUCGUAAGGUUGCAAUAACAAGAUCCAAGCAACUGUUUAUCAAAAACACAGGUCUCCGCUAAGUCGUAAGACGAUGUAUGGGGGCUGACGCCUGCCCAGUGCCAGAAGGUUAAAGAAGUUGGUUAGCAAUUGCGAAGCUGAUAACUGAAGCCCUGGUGAACGGCGGCCGUAACUAUAACGGUCCUAAGGUAGCGAAAUUCCUUGUCGGGUAAGUUCCGACCCGCACGAAAGGCGUAAUGAUUUGGAUACUGUCUCGGAGAGGGGCUCGGUGAAAUAGACUUGUCUGUGAAGAUGCGGACUACCUGCACCAGGACAGAAAGACCCUAUGAAGCUUUACUGUAACUUGAAAUUGAAAUUGGACUUUAUUCGCGCAGUAUAGGUGGGAGGCGUUGAUUAUAAUCUUGUGGGAUUAUUGGGGCCAUCAGUGAGAUACCACUCUUGUAAUGUUAGAUUUCUAACUUUGAAUCAUUAUCUGGUCAAAGAACAGUUUCAGGCGGGCAGUUUGACUGGGGCGGUCGCCUCCUAAACGGUAACGGAGGCGUACAAAGGUUUCCUCUGAACGGUUAGAAAUCGUAUCUAGAGUGUAAAGGCAUAAGGAAGCUUGACUGUGAGACCUACAAGUCGAGCAGGGACGAAAGUCGGUCUUAGUGAUCUGACGGUACUGAGUGGAAAGGCCGUCACUCAACGGAUAAAAGUUACUCUAGGAUAACAGGCUGAUCUCCCCCAAGAGUUCACAUCGACGGGGAGGUUUGGCACCUCGAUGUCGGCUCAUCGCAUCCUGGGGCGGUAGUACGUCCCAAGGGUUGGGCUGUUCGCCCAUGAAAGCGGUACGCGAGCUGGGUUCAGAACGUCGUGAGACAGUUCGGUCCAUAUCCGGUGUAGGCGUUAGAAUAUUGAGAGGAGCCUUCUUUAGUACGAGAGGACCGAGAAGGACAUACCUCUGGUGUACCAGUUAUCGUGCCAACGGUAAACGCUGGGUAGCUAUGUAUGGAGUGGAUAACCGCUGAAAGCAUCUAAGUGGGAAGCCCACCUCAAGAUAAG